Small nuclear RNA from Malaclemys terrapin pileata, 113 nucleotides. RefSeq annotates it as U5 spliceosomal RNA. The record is from RefSeq and is a predicted model, not a curated record. The transcript has a single exon. NCBI's taxonomy places the organism in Eukaryota, Metazoa, Chordata, Testudines, Emydidae.
AUACUCUGGUUUCUCUUCAGAUCGUAUAAAUCUUUUGCCUUUUACUAAAGAUUUCCUAUGAAAUGUGCAACACGGGUGCUGAUAUAUACCUUGAUCCUGCAAAAUCUUCCUCA